This 250-nucleotide ribosomal RNA is filed under the name uncultured archaeon. RNAcentral's name for it is "partial 16S ribosomal RNA". It matches the Rfam family "Archaeal small subunit ribosomal RNA", at positions 474 to 723 of the family's 1478-position model. The record is from RNAcentral.
CACCAGCGCCACGAGUGGCUAUCGCGAUUAUUGGGCCUAAAGCGUCCGUAGUCUGCCUUGUACAUCUUCUGUGAAAUCGUUGCGCUUAACGUAACGGCAUGCGGAAGACACGGCAAGGCUUGAGAGCGGGAGGCGUGUAGGGUACUCCACGGGGACCGGUAAAAUGGUAUAAUCCGUGGAAGACCACCUGUGGCGAAGGCGCUACACGAGAACGCAUCUGACGAUGAGGGACGAAAGCCAGGGGAGCAAA